UAUGUGAUAGCCUGGGAAGUGGGAGAAUGUAGCUGUAGAAAGCGAACAUAAACACAGGAUUUUCAAAUAAACCAACUAAGGAAUUGAAAUAAUUAUUUGAGGUCGUACAUAAACUGGAUUUUGACUCUAUCGGAAUGGCAGGUAGCGGUGCUGUACCAUCCAGAUGUUGACCGAAUGUUGCUGUAGCGUACAGGUGUAUGCUAAUGCAGGAGGAAGAGGCAGCAGCUAGAACUGGGCAACCCGCUAUUCUCCUCUCAUUUUGACAUCGGCACUUGGAAACCUAACGCCCAACACUGACCCCAAGUGGAUUUUAUUCAAUAUGUACUUUAAAAACACACCAGGCAUUGUCUGCUCUCAGCAAGACCUGGGGUCUUGGACCAGCAUACUGCGUCCAGGGGCCUCAUUUAUAAAAAUGUUCUUGGACUUGUAUCUUUGGAGGUUUGCGUGCAGCCCUCAAACAUGCAGUACCUUCACAUAACCAGCAGAUCUUUAUCCAGUUGACCUGAGUUCCAUCAAGCUGAUCCAGGACCAGGUUUACCCAAUCAUGAUCUGGACGUCCACCCAACAUGUGAAGUUUCAGACUAUAGAAGACACUGCAUGUGGUCUACUGAGUUCAGAGGUUCAUAUGAUUCUGAUAUUUGGAAUCUAUGUGCCCUGUAUUGUGGCAUUUUGUUCUGCAGUGAUGUUAUGCUCUGAGUGAUUGUGUGUGUGUGUGUGAGCGUUCAUAAGGCAGACAUCCCUGCAGUCUGACCUUUGUAUUGUGUGAACGUUUAAAUCCAACCUCCCAUUCGAAAGCAGGCAUGCUACAAUAGUAUUUCAGUUGUUUUAGCAAUGGGGACAACUCCACUGUCUCUCAGUUGUGACUCUCACUGAUAGUCCAGUCCAGAAUACAGGCUGGGAUCACAGGUAAAUGGAGCAUGUGCUGCUUGAUGUCUGUUUGGUGCCAGGGGCAUGAUUAAGGCCUCAGUGCUAUGUAUGUGCUUAACGUAGCUUGGGAGACAUCACAAGCUGAAGAUCCAUGCUGUUCUGAGCGUUCGAGUUGCACAUGACCUAUUCAAUUGUGUGACAAUGGGCAAAUGUAUAACCAAAAUAAUCUAUGACAACAACCACCAACUACACCAAACUCCCUCCAUGCCAUGCCCUCACAGGGGGUUACAGAUUACAACUUCCCCACCCCCAGGGUGACAGGAUGGCCGAAGAGAGGCCAGGGCCAGUCAUGUAUGAGCCCUUAAUCACAGCCUUUUGACACCCAGAGAUUGGGCCCAUAAGACAGCCCAGCACUCCGAUAUGGUCGUAUUGACAGUGCUGGUUACAUAUUAACCAGGUCCGUGCCUCUCCUGAUGGAAACAGCAAACAUAGGGCCAAUUGGUAAUGUAGAAAUAGGACAAGCCCCUGUCUCUGUUUUAACUUGGAAGAGAUGUGAAUGUCUGUAGGAUGAAUUUCACCAUUAGUGUGGGAUGCUUUGACAGGUAUCCUCAAACCUGGUAGGUUCAUUUUCAUAGCUAUCCAGUCUUUAAUUGAUCAAAGUGGUUGAAUGCACAGUUAACACUUGGUUUCUUGAGUCAUAUGUUUAAUGAUGAUUUUAAUGUAAAAAUAAAUGUCAGCAUACACUUUUUGGUA
Molecule: long non-coding RNA, 1620 nt
Organism: Anguilla anguilla (European eel)
Lineage: Eukaryota; Metazoa; Chordata; Actinopteri; Anguilliformes; Anguillidae
Exons: 2
Source: RefSeq, a predicted model, not a curated record